Molecule: ribosomal RNA, 474 nt
Filed under: uncultured prokaryote
Description: bacterial SSU rRNA
Rfam family: Bacterial small subunit ribosomal RNA
Source: RNAcentral
UGGGACAAAUCUCCCAUCAGUUAAUAUGCCGGGGGACUGACGGCUCCCUGAAAGGAAUCACCGGAUUAGUCCGUGCCAGCAGCCGCGGUAAUACGGAGGGUGCAAGCGUUGUUCGGAAUUAUUGGGCGUAAAGCGCGUGUAGGCGGCUGUUUAAGUCUGAUGUGAAAGCCCUGGGCUCAACCCGGGAAGUGCAUUGGAAACUGGAUAGCUUGAGUACGGGAGAGGGUAGUGGAAUUCCGAGUGUAGGGGUGAAAUCCGUAGAUAUUCGGAGGAACACCGGUGGCGAAGGCGGCUACCUGGACCGAUACUGACGCUGAGACGCGAAAGCGUGGGGAGCAAACAGGAUUAGAUACCCUGGUAGUCCACGCCGUAAACGAUGGGUACUAGGUGUCGCGGGUAUUGACCCCUGCGGUGCCGAAGCUAACGCAUUAAGUACCCCGCCUGGGGAGUACGGCCGCAAGGCUAAAACUCAAA